Molecule: non-coding RNA, 1126 nt
Filed under: Pongo abelii (Sumatran orangutan)
Lineage: Eukaryota; Metazoa; Chordata; Mammalia; Primates; Hominidae
Source: RNAcentral
CCUGGUUAGGACCUGGGAUGCCGGAAAUCUGAGACUCUGCCUUCCCCUCCUGAGACACUCUGAAACCCUGCUUAGAAAUCGAGCACAAAGGCUCUGGCCUCCCAGAGAAAGACACGGAUUUGCAAAGGCAAAGAGCUGCAUUUUUCUCCGAGCUGGAGCACUUUCCGGUUUCCAUGAUGGGAUUUAAACAAGACUGCAGCUUUACGGUUCCCCUGUCGGUGUUUUCUCCUUCUUGGGGACUGACAAGGUGGAAGAGCCAACAAGAACCCUGUGUGCUCCUUUGCAGGACCUGGAAGGGACAGGUGGUGCCCUGCCCCAGGAGUCCUCCUGCUCAGGAGCCUGGGAGUUGAGGAGGUCUGGAAGCAGUGGGCCCACAGUGCCAUCGCCUUGGGAACCCACAGUGCCUUGGAUGUGGCUCCCUCGGUCCUAGCUUUGCAGGCAGCCUACCUGGACUGCACCCACCUCCCAGAAGAGCUGCUCAGAUCCUGCAUGUCCAAAAGAAAAGACCAAUCAAAGAAGUGAGGAAACCAAAGAGAGGCCUUAUGAAAGCUUAUGACGCAUUUUCCAAGGGCACACUCCAGCAACUUCAAAUGCUUUCUGAAACUCUCCCCAGGAAAAAGCAGUGUGCGUGGACCGCUACCUGGUCACACCUUGAGAUAGCCAUCCUCUCUGGAACACUGCCUUGGGGGAUGCAGCACAGGGCAUCCAAGCAACCCCUGAGCUCAGGGUAGAGACACCAGGAAGCAGCAGGCGGGCUGUGACCCCGCAGGCCUGUUCCAUGGCUCCUGCUGCCUGCACCACGGCAUGAAGCUCAGAUGCACCUCUGGACUUGGGGUUCUGACCAGACGGAGCCACCAAUCCUCUGAAGAAUGAAACACACAGGGGUCACCCUUGCCUCCCAGCUGCAGGGAAUGACGACCACCCAGCCCUUCCUUUCCCCAAUCUUCUCCAGGCUUCUGUGCGUGGCUCUGCUGACCUUCCUCCUGUCUCUGGUUAUUCUCUCAGCCUCUGCUGGCUCCUCCUCUGCCCUCACCCACGGAGUCAGUCCUGGUGCCUUGAGGGCCCCUCUCCCUAGCUGACUUCACCCAGCCCCCAAGCAUUCAAUGCCAACAAUGCGAACUUCUUU